This 282-nucleotide ribosomal RNA is filed under the name Triticum aestivum (bread wheat). Its description in RNAcentral is "partial small subunit ribosomal RNA". Lineage: Eukaryota; Viridiplantae; Streptophyta; Magnoliopsida; Poales; Poaceae. The record is from RNAcentral.
AUGGAGAAGCUGCCGUGGUCCGCGGAGUCGUCGUCGCAGGGUGCGGUCCCGGAGCGGUUCUUCAUGCGGCUGGCAGCGGCGUCCCCGACGCUGGUAUCGCUGCCCGUCAUCGACCUCUCCCGCGGCCGCGACGAGGUCCGCCAGGCCGUGCUCCACGCCGGCAAGGAGCUCGGCUUCUUCCAGGUACGUACGUACGUGCAUUUAUCCGGCAAGAAGCUGCUGCCCCUUUCUAUCGCAGUUUUUUUUUUGAACGGUCACCGGGAGGAGAAAGUCCCCGCCUGA